UGGGGAAUAUUGGACAAUGGGCGAAAGCCUGAUCCAGCCAUGCCGCGUGUGUGAAGAAGGUCUUCGGAUUGUAAAGCACUUUAAGUUGGGAGGAAGGGCAGUAAGCGAAUACCUUGCUGUUUUGACGUUACCGACAGAAUAAGCACCGGCUAACUCUGUGCCAGCAGCCGCGGUAAUACAGAGGGUGCAAGUGUUAAUCGGAAUUACUGGGCGUAAAGCGCGCGUAGGUGGUUCGUUAAGUUGAAUGUGAAAGCCCCGGGCUCAACCUGGGAACUGCAUCCAAAACUGUCGAGCUCGAGUAGGGCAGAGGGUGGUGGAAUUUCCUGUGUAGCGGUGAAAUGCGUAGAUAUAGGAAGGAACACCAGUGGCGAAGGCGACCACCUGGGCUCAUACUGACACUGAGGUGCGAAAGCGUGGGGAGCAAACAGG
Molecule: ribosomal RNA, 429 nt
Filed under: Pseudomonadota bacterium
Lineage: Bacteria; Pseudomonadati; Pseudomonadota
Description: Proteobacteria bacterium partial 16S ribosomal RNA
Rfam family: Bacterial small subunit ribosomal RNA
Source: RNAcentral